Molecule: non-coding RNA, 94 nt
Organism: Acanthosepion pharaonis
Lineage: Eukaryota; Metazoa; Mollusca; Cephalopoda; Sepiida; Sepiidae
Source: the annotation of a GenBank genome assembly
UAAACACCUAUUCCCGUACAGUCACCGAAGUUAAGCAAUCUCGAGCCUGGUGAAUUCUUUAAUGGGUGACCGCUUGCGAAUAUCAAGUGUUGAA